RNAcentral lists this ribosomal RNA (473 nucleotides) under uncultured bacterium. Its description in RNAcentral is "SSU rRNA". It matches the Rfam family "Bacterial small subunit ribosomal RNA", at positions 26 to 518 of the family's 1533-position model. The record is from RNAcentral.
AGGACGAACGCUGGCGGCGUGCUUAACACAUGCAAGUCGAGCGGAAAGGCCCUUCGGGGUACUCGAGCGGCGAACGGGUGAGUAACACGUGAGUAAUCUGCCCCUAGCUCUGGGAUAGCUCCGGGAAACCGGGAUUAAUACCAGAUACGACCACUUUAGACAUCUGCUGUGGUGGAAAGAAUUUCGGCUAGGGAUGAGCUCGCGGCCUAUCAGCUUGUUGGUGAGGUAACGGCUCACCAAGGCGACGACGGGUAGCCGGCCUGAGAGGGCGACCGGCCACACUGGGACUGAGACACGGCCCAGACUCCUACGGGAGGCAGCAGUGGGGAAUAUUGCGCAAUGGGCGAAAGCCUGACGCAGCGACGCCGCGUGGGGGAUGAAGGCCUUCGGGUUGUAAACCCCUUUCAGCAGGGCGAAGCGAAAGUGACGGUACCUGCAGAAGAAGCGCCGGCUAACUACGUGCCAGCAGCCGC